GCGGGUGUAGUUUAAUGGUAGAAUAGGAGUUUUCCAAACUCUUGGUCGGAGUUCGAUUCUCCGCACCCGCACCA
Molecule: transfer RNA, 74 nt
Filed under: Minisyncoccota bacterium
Lineage: Bacteria; Bacillati; Minisyncoccota
Also listed under: 2 other names
Description: tRNA-Gly
Rfam family: tRNA
About the family: Transfer RNA (tRNA) molecules are approximately 80 nucleotides in length. Their secondary structure includes four short double-helical elements and three loops (D, anti-codon, and T loops). Further hydrogen bonds mediate the characteristic L-shaped molecular structure. tRNAs have two regions of fundamental functional importance: the anti-codon, which is responsible for specific mRNA codon recognition, and the 3' end, to which the tRNAs corresponding amino acid is attached (by aminoacyl-tRNA synthetases). tRNAs cope with the degeneracy of the genetic code in two manners: having more than one tRNA (with a specific anti-codon) for a particular amino acid; and 'wobble' base-pairing, i.e. permitting non-standard base-pairing at the 3rd anti-codon position.
Source: RNAcentral